CAGAGGUGUGUUUCCAUGGUGAUUCUAAAUAAAGUCAAGUCAACAAUGAAGAUACAGCAUCCUAGGAAACCUCACACACCGGAGUCCUAUCCAGAUCCUCCUUUCCCAUCUUCUUCUCUGCCUUUCCUGUGGGGGGAGGGAGUCACUGACGGAUUUCAGAAGGAUACACACAGAAUGGCAAUGGAGAAAGAGGACAUCUGCCUACCCAGCCAGAUCAGCUCCGUCAACCCUUGGAAACAACGGGGCGACGAAUGUCAUAGUCCAAACACCUCACAUUUGAGAGAACUAUAUUUCAAACAACUUCAGUGGGGUUUAGAAGAGAUCGUUGAGCUCAUAGCAAGAACUCUUGAGAAACAAAUCAUAAGAGAGAAGUUUUAAUAUUAGAAGCUUGCAUCAAUAUUUAGCUACUUUACCCACUUGGGCCGCUUCUCCCUGGACCUGCUUCCCUUCUCUCCUUCCCUCUCAUCCUUUCCUGGGAGUCAACGCCCGAGAGGGCCAGUGAGGACACACUGUGGAGUCACAGAAGCCUGGACCUGCUGGCGUCUACUCUGGCUGCUUGCACGUUUUUUUCCCAGUCUCAUGUGGUUGGUAUAUGGUUCACCACCUCGAGGGCCAGGACUUCUGCUUGGAGCUUGUUGGGAGGGACAGUGACAGAAGGAGCAGCUCCUUAGCAGAUGGCUGGACACCAGACAGCACAGCUGGAGGUGGUGGGGCUCUGAGACAGCACAGGACAGACAGACAAGUCACUGAGAGAGGAUGCGGUGUAUGGGAGACAGAGCUGGAGCUGGGGAAGGGCAGCACAGUGGCUUCCUUCAUCCCUAUGCACAGAGCCAGUGUGCGGGACAUAAUGGACACACCAUCGGCACCUCAGCCAGGCUCACCCAGGCAGCACCUGAAGCUGUGGAUGCUGGCUGGGAUUCAGAUCCACAGCUGCCUGGUUCUCAAGCCCAGUCUUUUUCUUGUGCACAGGCGGCCGUCUGAGGGGACAUCUGCUCUGGGACUCGGAGAAUGGUGCAGGGACCUCCAGAAUAAAUUAACUGUCUUCAGAGCAGUGUAAAAGAACAGACAAAAAUGAGAAACACAGAGAUGAC
Microtus oregoni (creeping vole) is the source of this 1091-nucleotide long non-coding RNA. RefSeq lists it as uncharacterized. The transcript is spliced from 3 exons. NCBI's taxonomy places the organism in Eukaryota, Metazoa, Chordata, Mammalia, Rodentia, Cricetidae. The record is from RefSeq and is a predicted model, not a curated record.